Molecule: ribosomal RNA, 107 nt
Filed under: Bison bison bison
Lineage: Eukaryota; Metazoa; Chordata; Mammalia; Artiodactyla; Bovidae
Source: RNAcentral
GGCCGUAUCAGCCUGAAGGCGCCCGAUCUCGUCUGAUCUCGGAAGCUAAGCAGGGUCGGGCCUGGUUAGUAUCUUGGAUGGGAGACCACCUGGGAAUCCCGGGUGCU